UACGGAGGGUGCAAACGUUGCUCGGAAUCAUUGGGCGUAAAGCGCACGUAGGCGGCCUGGUAAGUCGGAUGUGAAAUCCCUCGGCUCAACCGAGGAAGUGCAUUCGAAACUGCCAGGCUUGAAUAUGGAAGAGGGUCGCGGAAUUCCCGGUGUAGAGGUGAAAUUCGUAGAUAUCGGGAGGAACACCGGUGGCGAAGGCGGUUCUCUGGGCCGAUACUGACGCUGAGGAGCGAAAGCGUGGGGAGCGAACAGG
RNAcentral lists this ribosomal RNA (253 nucleotides) under uncultured bacterium. RNAcentral's name for it is "partial 16S ribosomal RNA". It matches the Rfam family "Bacterial small subunit ribosomal RNA", at positions 524 to 776 of the family's 1533-position model. The record is from RNAcentral.